GUAAGCAAGAAGUGUAUUAAUAAGGUUUAAGGUGGAUGUAAGCAAGGAUGAGGUGUCAACUUGUACUCAUGCAAGGAACUCUAUUAUUAGGUUACUACAUAUUCAUUUUUCUCACAGUACACUUGUGCGUUUUGAGUGAAAUUACUUCCAAAAGUUUCCAUUUUGAGUCUAUUUUCUAAGUUGAAGCUUCUGGUUUAAUUUGAGUAAGAGAGGGCUGGGUUUGAGUUGAAGGAAGUGAGGAAGGUCAGAAUUCGUGUGAUUCUGAACAAUGUGUACUUCAAGAGGGCUGUAGAGUUCAUUUGUUGGAACCUGAAGCUGAAAUUUUGAGGUGAGAAUACUUAGACAUUUUGCAACUACUUUGUAGAAGGAAACAUUUUCAUUUGAAUUAUGGACUUUAUGUUAUUAAGCUCUAAAGUGGAAGAAAGGUUCUGACCGAAAACGAGUUUCUGGACAAUGGAGGUUGGUGGGCGAGGCAUGUUGGAUCAAAGAGGUUUUGAACAAGAAGGAAUUGGACAAGCAUUUCAGCCAAUGGUUUGAUCUACGAUCGAGUCAAUGCCACCAAAGGGUGUACAGACUACAUGGUGAUAAGAAGUUGACUUCUGUAUAGAAAGGAGCAUAUAAAGCUUAGUAGCCUGAGCAACAAGAACGAAUCAGUAUGUUCUCGGAUGCUAUUAUUACAGUAGUCAAACGCAAGGUAAUGAGACCAAGCGUAGAGAACGAUUUGAGAUCCUUGGUGAAAUGAAUAAUUAUAAUGUGUGUUUAUGUGAAAUUUUUAUGUUAUAAAUGUGUUUAAACAUAAAGAAAGGUUUAUGUGAAAUGUUCUGAGGUUGUUUAUGCGAAAUGAUGUUUGUAAAAAGGCAUUGCGAAAAGGUUUUCAUAAAACUUCAUUAAGUCUUUUAGACUUACGUUUUAAAAUUUUACCUUUCAGGACUUAGGCGUUGAGGUCAAGAAGAGAGGAAGUUUGGGCUUCUUAGGCAAGAAGCUGCCAGGCGUUCAAGUUUAAGUGUUGAUUUUUAUCUUUUGAUUGUUGUAUCAUUAUGUACAUGUAUUAAACGCCUUGUUAAGGAACAAAAGUUUAAAGUUCGUUUUAUCUUUCCA
Long non-coding RNA from Cucumis sativus (cucumber), 1098 nucleotides. RefSeq lists it as uncharacterized. Lineage: Eukaryota; Viridiplantae; Streptophyta; Magnoliopsida; Cucurbitales; Cucurbitaceae. The transcript is spliced from 2 exons. The record is from RefSeq and is a predicted model, not a curated record.